Phyllostomus discolor (pale spear-nosed bat) is the source of this 1878-nucleotide long non-coding RNA. RefSeq lists it as uncharacterized. The transcript has 4 exons. The record is from RefSeq and is a predicted model, not a curated record. Lineage: Eukaryota; Metazoa; Chordata; Mammalia; Chiroptera; Phyllostomidae.
CCAAAACAAUCAUCCCCCAAAACCCCCAAACAAAACACACACGAAGAGGGCACAGUAUCCUCAUUUAUCAAGUGGGAAAAUGAAGGCCACAGAGUUUCCAUAAUUCCCUUGAGUUCCUACAGCUAAGUGGCAAAUCUGGUGUUUAGAACCAGCCCAUCUGGCAGGUGAGCAACAUUCUUCGCUGCCAACUACACUCCACUACCAACUGACUCAGUUAUUCAUUUCGUCCUCAUAGCACCUGACAGGCAGGUGUCAUUUCCCACGCACUAAUUUCCUUUUCUCUGCUUAGAUGAGGAAACUGACCUGCUUGUAAUGUUUAAAUAAUUUGGUAACCACCAUCCAGUGACUUGGUGGCAAGCCAGCCAGGGAUCCAAAGCUCGUGGUAGACUGUUUUCACUUCUCCAGGCUUUAGUGGUGUGAGCCAAAGCUGGAUCUCUGCGACAGAGCCUCCCACUCGCAGGUCUCACCUGAGGCUCUGCUGGGUCCCGGCAGAGCCACACACGGCCUCCUGGCGGCAGGUGGGCGCAAGGGCAGCGCAUGCUAAUGAGCCCUCAACGUUGCUCGCUGAUUGGCUGGCGCUGAUUCCAGCUACUUUUCCCAGGGGCAUGAGCGCUACAAGAAUAAAGGGGCGCCGCAAGCACUGCCGCCCCCACCCCGCGCCUUUCAGUCCCCCCAUCUCCCCUUAGACUUAAGGGUGUGAGGGAAGCACGAGGGCUCUUUCGCUUGCAAGAUUGUCCUUUUCUCUCCCUUUUGCAUUCUGGUUCUGAAUUUAUCCAGGAUCCAGGAUGACAAUCCAACACCAAGGCCAGCACUACUGGCCGAGGAUGGCAUUUCUCCCGAAGGUUUCUGUGCUGGCCUGUUGAUCCUGAAGAAUCAGCACUGCUUGUGCAGAGUGCUGGAGGGUGCAGAGCCUGUUGCCAGGAACUUCCUCCUCUCUCGGGUGGGACUGUUCUGGAGGUGUUCCACACUGUUUCUCCCAGAGGCUCUGCUCACUCAGGACUCCAGUGGUCCAAAGAAUGAAUCUGGAUUGUCCUCCUUUCUUCCCCUUGCUCACUUCCCCCAGACCUCUGCUGCCACUUCUCAGGAUCAAUCCUUCCACUAACACUAGGAGAUUAUUAUUCACAUUUUACAGGUAAGGAAAUUGAGAACCAACACUGGAAGGUUGUGAGACAGUGACACUGGUCUCACUGCAAUGGGAGAAACAUACAGUACAGUGGGCAGUGGGAAGGUGCUUCUACAAUUCCCCAUAAAGAGUAUGGGGAGAGAACCUUGAAGCUGAGACUGAAGGAUGCUGGGCUUCUGCAAAGAAAGGGCAGAAGGAAGACCCAGGCAGCUGAGGGCAGAAGUAUGUGCCAGAGUAGAGGUCUGUGCCAGUGUGUUGUGUUUGAAGCAAGUUGUUCACUGUUGCUUAACAAAGGUGGAUCAUGAAGAUCUCCUUAGACCUAUGCCUUUCAAAGUUCAUCCGAUUUUUCCCAGAAGAAGCCAUUCAAGACUUUGGAGCAGAGGGAAAGGAAUGAAGCUGCUGAUAUUUUCAUCAGAUAAGUUUCCAUUUCAAACUAGCAGAACAGGUAAAACUCCUCUAUCCACUGCUCAGCUCCCUGAUUCCCUAAGAAGAAGGUCAUUUCACCCAGUGAGAACAAGUGUGUGAGCCAAGCAAGUGUCCGUGCAGAUGACGCCAGCCCGCAGUCAGUCUUGCUGGCUGAAUGCUAGCGUUGUGCCCUGAGUGACCCUGACCAUGCUCCUGAUGGUAGCUGUCCCUUGAGACGGUGAUUCAGCUGCAAACUCUGGUUCAGCAACAGAUUGAAAGAGGACAUCCCUGCUGUCAGGUUGACUCAGGACACUGUCCCACACUCCUUCCCUCCUUGGGGAGCUGGGAAC